GUCUACGGCCACACCACCCUGAACGCGCCCGAUCUCGUCUGAUCUCGGAAGCUAAGCAGGGUCGGGCCUGGUUAGUACUUGGAUGGGAAACAACAACACAACAGUAGUAAUUCUUUACC
Molecule: ribosomal RNA, 119 nt
Filed under: Microcebus murinus (gray mouse lemur)
Lineage: Eukaryota; Metazoa; Chordata; Mammalia; Primates; Cheirogaleidae
Source: RNAcentral